ACAGUGGACGCGAGCAUCUGUGGCCAAGUUUUUAAGGGCGCACGGUGGAUGCCUUGGCACCAGGAACCGAUGAAGGACGUGGGAGGCCACGAUAGUCCCCGGGGAGUCGUCAACCAGGCUUUGAUCCGGGGGUUUCCGAAUGGGGAAACCCGGCAGUCGUCAUGGGCUGUCACCCGCUGCUGAACACAUAGGCAGUGUGGAGGGAACGCGGGGAAGUGAAACAUCUCAGUACCCGCAGGAAGAGAAAACAACCGUGAUUCCGGGAGUAGUGGCGAGCGAAGGACGAGUCAGAAACCGUUGAUGUAGGCGAAGGACAUGCGAAAGGUCCGGCGUAGAGGGUAAGACCCCCGUAGUCGAAACGUCAGCGGCUCGUUUGAGAGACACCCAAGUAGCACGGGGCCCGAGAAAUCCCGUGUGAAUCUGGCGGGACCACCCGCUAAGCCUAAAUAUUCCCUGGUGACCGAUAGCGGAUAGUACCGUGAGGGAAUGGUGAUGAGCCUGCGAGUUUGCGGUGUGUUGCGAGGUUAACCCGGGUGGGGAAGCCGUAGCGAAAGCGAGUCCGAACAGGGCGAUUUUAGUAGCACGCUCAAGACCCGAAGCGGAGUGAUCUAGCCAUGGGCAGGUUGAAGCGGAGGUAAGACUUCGUGGAGGACCGAACCCACCAGGGUUGAAAACCUGGGGGAUGACCUGUGGUUAGGGGUGAAAGGCCAAUCAAACUCCGUGAUAGCUGGUUCUCCCCGAAAUGCAUUUAGGUGCAGCGUCGUGUGUUUCUUGCCGGAGGUAGAGCACUGGAUAGGCGAUGGGCCCUACCGGGUUACUGACCUUAGCCAAACUCCGAAUGCCGGUAAGUGAGAGCGCGGCAGUGAGACUGUGGGGGAUAAGCUCCAUGGUCGAGAGGGAAACAGCCCAGAGCAUCGACUAAGGCCCCUAAGCGUACGCUAAGUGGGAAAGGAUGUGGAGUCGCACAGACAACCAGGAGGUUGGCUUAGAAGCAGCCACCCUUGAAAGAGUGCGUAAUAGCUCACUGGUCUAGUGAUUCCGCGCCGACAAUGUAGCGGGGCUCAAGCGUACCGCCGAAGUCGUGUCAUUGCAGCAUAUACGGCCAACGCCGGCUGUGAUGGGUAGGGGAGCGUCGUGUGCCGGGUGAAGCAGCGCCGGAAGGCAGUUGUGGACGGUUCACGAGUGAGAAUGCAGGCAUGAGUAGCGAUACAAACGUGAGAAACGUUUGCGCCGAUUGACUAAGGGUUCCUGGGUCAAGCUGAUCUGCCCAGGGUAAGUCGGGACCUAAGGCGAGGCCGACAGGCGUAGUCGAUGGAUAACCGGUUGAUAUUCCGGUACCCGCUGUGAAGCGUCAAACAUCGAGCAUCGUGAUGCUAAGGCCGUGAAGCCGCCCUGAUCUCUUCGGAGUUGAGGGGAGUGGUGGAGCCGCCGGACCAAGCGGUUAGUAGGUGAGUGAUGGGGUGACGCAGGAAGGUAGUCCAUCCCGGGCGGUGGUUGUCCCGGGGUAAGGGUGUAGGCCGCGAGGUAGGUAAAUCCGCCUCGCAUACGGCUGAGACCUGAUGCCGAGCCGAUUGUGGUGAAGUGGAUGAUCCUAUGCUGUCGAGAAAAGCCUCUAGCGAGUUUCAUGGCGGCCCGUACCCUAAACCGACUCAGGUGGUCAGGUAGAGAAUACCGAGGCGUUCGGGUGAACUAUGGUUAAGGAACUCGGCAAAAUGCCCCCGUAACUUCGGGAGAAGGGGGGCCACACCUGGUGACGAGUCUUGCACUCUGAGCUGGGGGUGGCCGCAGAGACCAGCGAGAAGCGACUGUUUACUAAAAACACAGGUCCGUGCGAAGCCGUAAGGCGAUGUAUACGGACUGACGCCUGCCCGGUGCUGGAACGUUAAGGGGACCGGUUAGCUCCAUUUCGGUGGGGCGAAGCUGAGAACUUAAGCGCCAGUAAACGGCGGUGGUAACUAUAACCAUCCUAAGGUAGCGAAAUUCCUUGUCGGGUAAGUUCCGACCUGCACGAAUGGCGUAACGACUUCUCGACUGUCUCAACCAUAGGCCCGGUGAAAUUGCACUACGAGUAAAGAUGCUCGUUUCGCGCAGCAGGACGGAAAGACCCCGGGACCUUUACUACAGUUUGAUAUUGGUGUUCGGUUCGGCUUGUGUAGGAUAGCUGGGAGACUUUGAAGCUCGCACGCCAGUGUGGGUGGAGUCGUCGUUGAAAUACCAGUCUGGUCGUGCUGGAUGUCUAACCUGGGUCCGUGAUCCGGAUCAGGGACAGUGUCUGAUGGGUAGUUUAACUGGGGCGGUUGCCUCCUAAAGAGUAACGGAGGCGCCCAAAGGUUCCCUCAGCCUGGUUGGCAAUCAGGUGUUGAGUGUAAGUGCACAAGGGAGCUUGACUGUGAGACCGACGGGUCGAGCAGGGACGAAAGUCGGGACUAGUGAUCCGGCGGUGGCUUGUGGAAGCGCCGUCGCUCAACGGAUAAAAGGUACCCCGGGGAUAACAGGCUGAUCUUCCCCAAGAGUCCAUAUCGACGGGAUGGUUUGGCACCUCGAUGUCGGCUCGUCGCAUCCUGGGGCUGGAGUCGGUCCCAAGGGUUGGGCUGUUCGCCCAUUAAAGCGGUACGCGAGCUGGGUUUAGAACGUCGUGAGACAGUUCGGUCCCUAUCCGCUGUGCGCGUAGGAGUCUUGAGAAGGGCUGUCCCUAGUACGAGAGGACCGGGACGGACGAACCUCUGGUGUGCCAGUUGUCCUGCCAAGGGCAUGGCUGGUUGGCUACGUUCGGGAGGGAUAACCGCUGAAAGCAUCUAAGCGGGAAGCCUGCUUCGAGAUGAGGACUCCCACCCCCUUGAGGGGUUAAGGCUCCCAGUAGACGACUGGGUUGAUAGGCCGGAUCUGGAAGCACCGUGAGGUGUGGAGGUGACCGGUACUAAUAGGCCGAGGGCUUGUCCUCAGUUG
This 2946-nucleotide ribosomal RNA is filed under the name Streptomyces parvulus. RNAcentral's name for it is "bacterial LSU rRNA". It matches the Rfam family "Bacterial large subunit ribosomal RNA". Lineage: Bacteria; Bacillati; Actinomycetota; Actinomycetes; Kitasatosporales; Streptomycetaceae. The record is from RNAcentral.